Molecule: non-coding RNA, 999 nt
Organism: Odocoileus virginianus texanus
Lineage: Eukaryota; Metazoa; Chordata; Mammalia; Artiodactyla; Cervidae
Source: RefSeq, a predicted model, not a curated record
AGUUCAGAGGACAAAGGUCUAUCGAUGUCCAUACCUUCCCCCAGUGAGGACACCCGGGGAAGACCUGCCUGCUUCUGUUGUGUACAGGACUAAGCCAAUGGCACAGAGUUAUCCAUGAAAUCAGGUAGAAGGUACAGGUCUUUUCGGAUGCAAAGCCCACAAUUCCACACUUCUCAAACUCCACCCUCUGCUGCCUCCUAGAUCCUGCAUGAGAAGCUGCAGAUACCAGGGUCGUAACAUAAGCUGUACUAUAAGAGACUGAGGUCAGAUCUCUUGAGGACCCUAUGAGGAAAGAUUUAACAUGAAGGACACCAGUUGAGUGGAGAAAACCACUGUUGAGAAGGAGGAUGUGACAAUGUCAGGAAGAUGGGGGUAAUAAUCAAGGAGGGAAGAGCAUGUGGCAGAGAAAACAAAAAUAAUCGUUAAUGCUUGGUGUCUUGAAACAUUGUUUAAACUCAUUUCUACUUCAAGUUGACAGUGGUUUAUUGGGCUCAUCCCCUUGAUUCUUGUUAUUUAAUGUAUUAAAGAAACCCAUAUAUUACAACAUCACACACUUCAAUAUUUUCACAACUGUAUUUCAACAUAGCUAGUUUCAUUUGUGAUCCCUUUAUGCAAAGGAAAAUAUUUUGAGAAGGAAUCACGGCACAAAAAAGGUCAAGGGCCCAGACCAGGAGCGGUCCCUAUUGACGCGUGGCCCAGAGUGAGGACGGCCGCCCAGCUGCGCACAGGCUGCCACAGGAGGAACCAGGUCAGAAUCCCACCAGGCACUGCUCCUGCUCCAGGAAACCUUGGGGUAGGACGCAGGGGCGAGGCAUGACCGCGACGAGUCACGGAGAUCUUUAGCUCGAUGGAGUGGCCUUGGGCCUCCGCUGCCCGUUGUGAAAAAGGAGAAGAUCACCAGCCUCUUAGCUUCAAUCACAUGAGGAUGGAGCCCCAAGCUCACUGUGGAAUAAAGGGAAGGGAGCACUCACCUUUUGUACUUAGGGAGUUUUUUCAGCC